This 278-nucleotide signal recognition particle RNA is filed under the name Cebus imitator (Panamanian white-faced capuchin). Its description in RNAcentral is "Metazoan signal recognition particle RNA (ENSCCAG00000008140.1)". It matches the Rfam family "Metazoan signal recognition particle RNA". Rfam says of the family: The signal recognition particle (SRP) is a universally conserved ribonucleoprotein. It is involved in the co-translational targeting of proteins to membranes. Lineage: Eukaryota; Metazoa; Chordata; Mammalia; Primates; Cebidae. The record is from RNAcentral.
GCCAAGCACAGUAGCACAUGCCUAUAGUCCCAGCUACUUGGGAGGCUGAGGCAGGAGGAUCACCUGAGUCCAGAAAUUCUAGGCUAUAGUGCAUUAAGCCAACUGAAUGUCUGCAUUAAGUUUGACAUAAAUGUGAGGGACCACAAGGUUGCCUAAGGAGAGGUGAACCAGCCCAGGCUGGAAACAGAGUCAAAACUCCUGUCCUGAUCAGCAGUAGGACUGCACCUGUGCAUAACCACUAUCCUCCAGCUUGGGCAUCAUAACAAGACCAUGUCUCU